AGAGUUUGAUCCUGGCUCAGGAUGAACGCUAGCUACAGGCUUAACACAUGCAAGUCGAGGGGAAACGACAUCGAAAGCUUGCUUUUGAUGGGCGUCGACCGGCGCACGGGUGAGUAACGCGUAUCCAACCUGCCCACCACUUGGGGAUAACCUUGCGGAAAGUAAGACUAAUACCCAAUGACGUCUCUAGAAGACAUCUGAAGGAGAAUUAAGAUUUAUCGGUGAUGGAGUGGGGUAUGGCGUCGUGAUUAGUCGUUGGUUGGCGGGGUAACGGCCCACCAACGGCGGACGAUACGUAGGUAGGGGUUCUUAGGAGAGGGAACGGUCCCCCACAGUUGGUAACUGAGACCGACGG
This 355-nucleotide ribosomal RNA is filed under the name uncultured bacterium. Its description in RNAcentral is "bacterial SSU rRNA". It matches the Rfam family "Bacterial small subunit ribosomal RNA", at positions 8 to 336 of the family's 1533-position model. The record is from RNAcentral.